UUUAUGUCAAAACUCACAAAUCAACACACACAUCACUCUAAUCCUUCUCCAAAACCGGCCCUCCCUCAAGUGGGAGUACUUUUAGGGCUUUUAUGCAAUUACAUAAAGUUUUGAUACUUUUGUGUAUUUGCACUUUGGCCCAAAAGUUUACAUUUUUACGUUUAGGUCCAAAAACGCUAAAGGACAAAUUGUUUUGCUCCUUUAAUGAAGCUUUUGCAUUGUUUAAAUU
RNAcentral lists this long non-coding RNA (229 nucleotides) under Malus domestica (apple). Its description in RNAcentral is "long non-coding RNA (MDOM_LNC012221)". Lineage: Eukaryota; Viridiplantae; Streptophyta; Magnoliopsida; Rosales; Rosaceae. The record is from RNAcentral.